RNAcentral lists this ribosomal RNA (440 nucleotides) under uncultured bacterium. RNAcentral's name for it is "partial 16S ribosomal RNA". It matches the Rfam family "Bacterial small subunit ribosomal RNA", at positions 339 to 795 of the family's 1533-position model. The record is from RNAcentral.
CUACGGGUCGCACCAGUCAAGAAUCUUCCCCAAUGGACGCAAGUCUGAGGGAGCGACACCGCGUGCAGGAAGACGCUCUUCGGAGUGUAAACUGCUUUUCUCUAGGAAAAAUUUGCGAUGGUACUAGAGGAAUAAGGGGCUGCUAAUCACGUGCCAGCAGCAGCGGUAAUACGUGAGCCCCGAGCGUUAUCCGGAUUUAUUGGGCGUAAAGCGCUAAAAGGCUGUGAAGAAAGUCGAGUAUUAAAGCCCAGGGCUCAACCCUGGAUCUGUACUCGAAACUUCUUCACUUGAGGAUGGAGAGGCUAGUGGAAUUGCUGGUGUAGCAGUAAAAUGCGUUAAUAUCAGCAGGAACACCAACUGCGAAGGCAGCUAGCUGGAACAAUCCUGACGCUAAAUAGCGAAAGCGUGGGUAGCGAAGGGGAUUAGAUACCCCAGUAGUC